Molecule: ribosomal RNA, 756 nt
Filed under: uncultured bacterium
Lineage: Bacteria
Description: bacterial SSU rRNA
Rfam family: Bacterial small subunit ribosomal RNA
Source: RNAcentral
AGAGUUUGAUCCUGGCUCAGAAUCAACGCUGGCGGCGUGCCUAACACAUGCAAGUCGCACGAGAAAGUGGAGCAAUCCAUGAGUACAGUGGCGCACGGGUGAGUAACACGUGAAUCAUCUACCUUCGAGUGGGGAAUAACUGAGAGAAAUCUUAGCUAAUACCGCAUAAUACCUACGGGUCAAAGCAGCAAUGCGCUUGAAGAGGAGUUCGCGGCAGAUUAGUUAGUUGGCGGGGUAAUGGCCCACCAAGACGAUGAUCUGUAUCCGGCCUGAGAGGGCGCGCGGACACACUGGAACUGAAACACGGUCCAGACUCCUACGGGAGGCAGCAGUGGGGAAUUUUGCGCAAUGGGGGAAACCCUGACGCAGCAACGCCGCGUGGAGGAUGAAGCCCCUUGGGGUGUAAACUCCUUUCGAUAGGGAAGAUAAUGACGGUACCUAUAUAAGAAGCCCCGGCUAACUUCGUGCCAGCAGCCGCGGUAAUACGAGGGGGGCAAGCGUUGUUCGGAAUUAUUGGGCGUAAAGGGCGCGUAGGCGGUCUGAUAAGUCUUGUGUGAAAUCUCUGGGCUCAACCCAGAGUCUGCAUAGGAAACUGUCGGGCUUGAGUAUGGGAGAGGUGCGUGGAAUUUCCGGUGUAGCGGUGAAAUGCGUAGAUAUCGGAAGGAACACCUGUGGCGAAAGCGGCGCACUGGACCAAAACUGACGCUGAGGCGCGAAAGCUAGGGGAGCAAACAGGAUUAGAUACCCCCGUAGUCC